This is a long non-coding RNA of Hyla sarda, 1159 nucleotides long. RefSeq lists it as uncharacterized. The transcript is spliced from 3 exons. Lineage: Eukaryota; Metazoa; Chordata; Amphibia; Anura; Hylidae. The record is from RefSeq and is a predicted model, not a curated record.
UUGGUCUCCACUGCACAACAAGGGGGAUUGUGGGUAAGUUUGUACUCUGUUGUCUCACAACAGUAGGGUCACAGAUCAGAGACGAAACCAGGAAGUGAUCAGAUAAAUGGGGGAGAACAACUCUAAAGGGAUGCCAGACACUGUGUGACGGUACACCAUGACAUUGUAUACGUGAUAGGAAGGAAUGGGCCCUGAAGCACAGAUCAGCCCCUGGUCCUAGUAUCUUCAGUCUGUUUACUAUCCUAAUGGCAAUCAUUGCAAAAGAACUAAACAAGUCAAAUAUACACUUCUCAAUAUAACUUCAUUAAGUAGAGCCCUGUCCAAAACCAUCAGCUGAUCAAGUCUGAGAACAAUCGGUGAUCCCUAAAGACUUCCUGACCCCCUACAGUCAUAUUACUAAGAAGUUGGCUGACCUGUCAUGGUAACUUUAUCCUAAAAGGGAGAUAGAGAAACGUGAAAUAAAUGUAUAUACGUCAAGUGUGCAACCAAAUGAUUAUGAUGCCACAAUGACAUUAUUGGACUACGGCACUGCAUGGAUAGCCAUUCCCAAUAUUCUCAAUGGGAGCAUCCCCAAACUUCCAUACAGGCCUAGAGGGAAACUCUCUAUAGUCGGCUCAGGGAUCGCUAUUUUGUCCCGUAAAAUGCUGGACACCAUGAAACAAGACUGACCACGAUGGAAUCCAUUGGAUGCCAUGGAUGUUCCACAUGCGUCAGAUUUCGACAUUAUUACUGUGUUUUGAUGUUCUGCUUCUAUGACGGAGCAGAACAGCGAAAAUGUAUAGCAGUGGUGUGAGCCUAGCCUCAUGCAGUGUAUUUCUCUGGUGGUUUAAAAGAGCGUUUUUCAUUUAAUUUUUGGUGGCAUUUUUUCUAUUCCGAGUCAUUUUGUACAUCCGUUUUUAAAGUCCUACAGAAGCUGUCUUUUACUUAACGGACCCACAAAAGCCACAAAACGGGCACAAACCAAAACAAGUCGCAUGCAGUGCAUUUUUUAUUUCACUAAAGAGUUUAAUGUAACUUAUGGCCACCCUGGAGAUCACGAUUGGUCUCCAAACUGUGGACCUCCAGCUGUUGCAAGACUACAACUCCCAGGAUGCCAGGACAGCCAAUGGUUGGUCAAACAUGCUGGGAGUUGUAGUUGUAGUCCUUACACUGCUGUAAU